UACGUAGGGUGCGAGCGUUAAUCGGAAUUACUGGGCGUAAAGCGUGCGCAGGCGGUGGCUCAAGCCAGGCGUGAAAUCCCCGGGCUUAACCUGGGAAUGGCGUUUGGGACUGCAAGGCUGGAGUGCGGCAGAGGAGACUGGAAUUCCCGGUGUAGCAGUGAAAUGCGUAGAUAUCGGGAGGAAUACCGAUGGCGAAGGCAGGUCUCUGGGCUGACACUGACGCUCAUGCACGAAAGCGUGGGGAGCAAACAGG
This 253-nucleotide ribosomal RNA is filed under the name uncultured bacterium. RNAcentral describes it as "partial 16S ribosomal RNA". It matches the Rfam family "Bacterial small subunit ribosomal RNA", at positions 524 to 776 of the family's 1533-position model. The record is from RNAcentral.